GGGAGUCGUUGCUCGCCAUAGAUGUAGCUUGUGACAAAGUGGCUGGACCACAGAUAUGAAUCCAGGAAGCUGAAAGGGAGCUCUUUCAGGCCAGGAUGGAGGAUACUCCCAGCAUCCCCUAUGGUCAGAUGCAUGGGUCCUUGGAGCACUCAGGGACCAGCCUGAAACCUGGUGCAGGCAGGACCACCCCUUCGCUCCGUUGUCAAGGUCCAGAUGUCCCUGGWGUCCAACAGGGCUUGACUACAGCAGGCACUUAAUAUGUGCUAACUCCGUGCAUCCCCCCUCCUUUUUCCUAAGUGGAUUAUGCAUCUGCUCCUCAGGACUGAUCUUCAACCUGUCAGCUACUCCCCAGCAUCAUCCAAACUGCUCUGAAAACCACCUUUCCAAAAUGCAGAGCCAGCAGUGUCACUGCCCCACUCAAAAUGCUCUCAACAGCUCCCCACUGCCU
Molecule: unclassified non-coding RNA, 448 nt
Filed under: Homo sapiens (human)
Lineage: Eukaryota; Metazoa; Chordata; Mammalia; Primates; Hominidae
Description: partial NAMA
Source: RNAcentral